GCAUAAAGCACUGCCACAUCGGAAGUGUAACGUCAGCCAUGUAUGGUCUGGAACCAGUGGCCAAUUCUUACCGGUACACUGGACCAGCCCACUUUCACCUAUGGUAAGUAUGAGGUUUAUUCUAAAUAUCAGUGUUGUUAGUUUGCAGAAACAUAUUUGCAGCACAAAGACAUCAGUACGGUGGAAACAACACAGAAGGCUAAUACUGCGUUUAGAAGACAUAUAGCAAUUCUUCUAAUGAAGGAGUCAGAAAGCGUGGAGGACUACUGCAUAUACUGCAACCUUAUCGACUGUGAAAAAGAAAGUGAGGAUUGCACGAUGGUCCAGUGUGAUUCUUGCAAGAGGUGGGCACAUAUACCAUGCAUUACAGAAGGAAACAAUCAAGAAAACCUGACAUAUGAGAAGAAAGAGUACAACUGCAAGACAUGUGCAUAGUUCACUUCAUUAACAAAAAGAAAAAAGGCAAUAAAGAAAACCCAUUGUUUAACUGCCUCUUGUUCAAAACAUAAUGCAACCCAAAGAAAUAUAUUUCUAUGUAUAC
Long non-coding RNA from Gopherus flavomarginatus (Mexican gopher tortoise), 541 nucleotides. RefSeq lists it as uncharacterized. NCBI's taxonomy places the organism in Eukaryota, Metazoa, Chordata, Testudines, Testudinidae. The transcript has 3 exons. The record is from RefSeq and is a predicted model, not a curated record.